RNAcentral lists this transfer RNA (71 nucleotides) under Candidatus Woesearchaeota archaeon. RNAcentral describes it as "tRNA-Gly". It matches the Rfam family "tRNA". Rfam says of the family: Transfer RNA (tRNA) molecules are approximately 80 nucleotides in length. Their secondary structure includes four short double-helical elements and three loops (D, anti-codon, and T loops). The record is from RNAcentral. Lineage: Archaea; Nanobdellati; Candidatus Woesearchaeota.
GCAUCAGUAGUCCAGUCGUAGGAUUCGAGCUUCCCAAGCUUGCGACCCGGGUUCAAAUCCCGGCUGGUGCA